Molecule: ribosomal RNA, 254 nt
Filed under: uncultured bacterium
Lineage: Bacteria
Description: partial 16S ribosomal RNA
Rfam family: Bacterial small subunit ribosomal RNA
Source: RNAcentral
UACGUAGGGGGCAAGCGUUGUCCGGAUUUAUUGGGCGUAAAGAGCGUGUAGGCGGUUAGGUAGGUCCGUUGUGAAAACUCGAGGCUCAACCUCGAGACGCCGAUGGAAACCAUCUAACUAGAGUCCGGAAGAGGAGAGUGGAAUUCCUGGUGUAGCGGUGAAAAUGCGCAGAUAUCAGGAGGAACACCUGUGGCGAAAGCGGCUCACUGGACCACAACUGACGCUGAGGCGCGAAAGCUAGGGGAGCAAACAGG